Molecule: ribosomal RNA, 468 nt
Filed under: uncultured bacterium
Lineage: Bacteria
Description: partial 16S ribosomal RNA
Rfam family: Bacterial small subunit ribosomal RNA
Source: RNAcentral
GACGAACGCUGGCGGCGUGCUUAACACAUGCAAGUCGAACGGAAAGGCCCUGCUUUUGUGGGGUGCUCGAGUGGCGAACGGGUGAGUAACACGUGAGUGACCUGCCCUUGACUUUGGGAUAACUUCAGGAAACUGGGGCUAAUACCGGAUAGGAGCUCCUGAUGCAUGGUGGGGGUUGGAAAGUUUCGGCGGUUGGGGAUGGACUCGCGGCUUAUCAGCUUGUUGGUGGGGUAGUGGCUUACCAAGGCUUUGACGGGUAGCCGGCCUGAGAGGGUGACCAGCCACAUUGGGACUGAGAUACGGCCCAGUCUCCUACGGGAGGCAGCAGUGGGGAAUAUUGUACAACGGGCGGAAGCCUAAUGCAGCAACGCCGCGUGCGGGAUGACGGCCUUCGGGUUGUAAACCGCUUUCGCCUGUGACGAAGCGUUAGUGACGGUAAUGGGUAAAGAAGCACCGGCUAACUACGUG